CCCUAUGGGGUGCCGGGGCUUUCUCCGCCGUGGAUUGGAGGCCGUGCAGUCGGAAUGGUCGCUGAUCUGCGCCUGUUUCAACCUCCGCAAGCUGUAUAUGGCGGCUUAUGGGAAAUGAUAAAGGGAAAAAAAGAAGAAUGAAGGCGCGUUGAGCCCUCAGCAAUGAACCCAACGAUGGCUCAGGGCCCCUAAUGUAGUUCUGAAUAGGAAAAACUCCGGCUGCCAAAGGUAUCCGUGAAAAUCGAUGCUGCCCGGUGGCUAUAACGCGUCAAACCCUUCUGCGACAGGCUCUUUUAUCCUCAAAUUACGAUGGCUAAAGUAGAGUUAGGCUAAAGUCGGGUUUGAGAAAUUGGAUCGGAAUCGAGCUUGACCAUACAGACAACGAUGGGUUUUGGUCAACAGAAUAGUCUCGCUAUUAUUUGUUAUCUCAGCCUAUUGCAUGAUUUUAUCAGGAAUUGGCGGGGGAGC
Molecule: ribosomal RNA, 468 nt
Filed under: uncultured prokaryote
Description: partial 16S ribosomal RNA
Source: RNAcentral